RNAcentral lists this unclassified non-coding RNA (195 nucleotides) under plant metagenome. Its description in RNAcentral is "partial contains small subunit ribosomal RNA, internal transcribed spacer 1, and 5.8S ribosomal RNA". The record is from RNAcentral.
UCUCCGUUGGUGAACCAGCGGAGGGAUCAUUACCGAGUUUACAACUCCCAAACCCCUGUGAACAUACCAUUUGUUGCCUCGGCGGUGCCUGCUUCGGCAGCCCGCCAGAGGACCCAAACCCUUGAUUUUAUACAGUAUCUUCUGAGUAGAUGAUUAAAUAAAUCAAAACUUUCAACAACGGAUCUCUUGGUUCUG